CUCAUUUGGACUCACUGGGAGAAGUGAUUCACUAGAACUCUCAUUGGAAGAAAUGACAGGAAAGCUCCCUCCAAUAUCUCAAUUUCCACCCCACCCAGUACCUGGUUCUAUGAUUCCACACCCUCCUAAUCCAUCCUGCCCUCCUAAUCCAUCCCACUCUCGUAAGCCAUCCCAUUCUCAUGCCCGCAAAUCCCUCCCUCUUCUUCAAUCUGCCAAGCCCCUUCCUCCUCUCCAGAAGUAUGUGGAUUUUUCAGUUUUCUGCCCUAACUGUUAUCCCACUGUGGCUCAUACCUGCCCUCCCCACUACCCUACCCUAAUACUCUACCUGCCCUGCUCUUCUGCUGUUCAUUACAAACCAUCCAUUUGUCAAUGCCCUGCACCCAGAACUCUUUCUGGUAACUCCUUUAUUGAUCACCCUAGCCCUCCUCCUAGCCCUACUGGUCAAUGCUUAGGUCCCAGAACUCUUCCCUGUGAUUCCCUUAUCCAUUCCCCUAUUCCUCCUCCUAACCCUCCUUGCCAACUCUCUGGUCCCAGAACUCUUUUCUGUGACUCCACUGUCUGUCCCCCUACUCCUCCUCCUAGCCCUGCUUGCAAAUGCUGUCGUCCCAGAGCUGUUUCCUGGGACUCCUCUACCUAUGCCUCUACCCCUCCUCCUUAGCCCUACUUCUUUCUAGUACCCUUUACUCUAGUCCCCAGGCCCCAGCCCUGCCAUCCCCAACCAGACCUAACGGUUCACAAGUCUCAUCUUGGAGAUGGUUUCCCUGCUCCUCGGGCAGUUCUGGAACAGUUCAGGAUGGCCAGGACUGUGGAUUCCCAGCAGUCUGACCUGGUGGACAAAGGAAAUGCAAGACAAUGGCAAACCAGCAUUCAGCCUCACCAGCCUGCAUGAGCCUCUACAUUUGUUCCUGGCUUCUUCAUGGAACUUGGUCUACAGCCACAAAGCAAACCACAGGGCCAGUGACAGAGAAGGCAGAGGGGAGUGUGGAGUGGGAAGCACCUAACCUGUUCUCAAGGAGGGGAAUGAUUGGCCAAGAUGAGCUUCAAUCGUAUGUCCACUACCUCCUGGCCUGACACUUGGCUGUGAGUCCUUUCUGGGCAGUGUCCAGGGGCGGUUCCAGUGACCAGGCAGGUGCUGAGAAGCACAGGCAGGUGAGUUAAGCAUUGGAAGGAGGUGGGUGUGAAAUAAGAUCCUGAGAGGUGGAGGGGACUAGGCAGGGUGGGUGGCGGCAGGGGAAUGGGUGACAACACCAAGAUCUACUCCAGCAGGAUGAGGGGACACUUGCCAGGAGACAGCGUGGGAUGCCAUUGCCUAGAGUUGGCAGAAGGACCAGGAGCAGGCAGGCAGCGAGAGGGCACCCAGAGUGCUCCUGAUCGGACCAAGCUGCAUGGAGGCCACAGUGGGACACCUGAGGGAAAAUGUGACCCCAGAUGAG
Molecule: non-coding RNA, 1433 nt
Filed under: Pongo abelii (Sumatran orangutan)
Lineage: Eukaryota; Metazoa; Chordata; Mammalia; Primates; Hominidae
Source: RNAcentral